AUUGAACGCUGGCGGCACGCCUUACACAUGCAAGUCGAACGGUAACAGGUCUUCGGAUGCUGACGAGUGGCGAACGGGUGAGUAAUACAUCGGAACGUGCCUAGUAGUGGGGGAUAACUACUCGAAAGAGUGGCUAAUACCGCAUGAGAUCUACGGAUGAAAGCAGGGGAUCGCAAGACCUUGUGCUACUAGAGCGGCCGAUGGCAGAUUAGGUAGUUGGUGGGAUAAAAGCUUACCAAGCCGACGAUCUGUAGCUGGUCUGAGAGGACGAUCAGCCACACUGGGACUGGGACACGGCCCAGACUCCUACGGGAGGCAGCAGUGGGGAAUUUUGGACAAUGGGCGCAAGCCUGAUCCAGCAAUGCCGCGUGCAGGAUGAAGGCCUUCGGGUUGUAAACUGCUUUUGUACGGAACGAAAAGCCCCGGGUUAAUACCCUGGGGUCAUGACGGUACCGUAAGAAUAAGCACCGGCUAACUACGUGCCAGCCGCCGCAGUAA
RNAcentral lists this ribosomal RNA (498 nucleotides) under uncultured bacterium. RNAcentral's name for it is "partial 16S ribosomal RNA". It matches the Rfam family "Bacterial small subunit ribosomal RNA", at positions 30 to 523 of the family's 1533-position model. The record is from RNAcentral.